CAGGUAUUUUGGGAUGUCACAAAUUUUUCUAAUCUAAUUUAGAGUCAUCAUUAUUUAUCUACACUAGUUGUAUUGCUAUCAUGAAAUUUCCAUGUGUAUGUGAUGAUGUGGUCAUUAAUAUGGCUACGAAUGAAGCAGCUUAUGCAAGCUUUAGCCAUUGAAUUCAACCUUAAGGAGCCAACUAGGUCUAGGGGUUAAAUUUAUUAUCAACCUCAAGGAACCCACCCAUUAUUUUAGUUGCAAGGUAUUUUCAUUUGUGAAGAGCAUCAAUAUGUUGCCUCCAUUGCGAAUGGCUACAAAAAUUACUGUUUAAUCUUCAUAUCGAGCUUUUAAACCCUCCCAUCAUUUACUAUGAUAAUCAUGGUGUCAUAUACGUCAUCUAUUAUCAU
RNAcentral lists this long non-coding RNA (389 nucleotides) under Carica papaya (papaya). Its description in RNAcentral is "long non-coding RNA (CPAP_LNC000053)". Lineage: Eukaryota; Viridiplantae; Streptophyta; Magnoliopsida; Brassicales; Caricaceae. The record is from RNAcentral.